Molecule: ribosomal RNA, 485 nt
Filed under: Fusarium tumidum
Lineage: Eukaryota; Fungi; Ascomycota; Sordariomycetes; Hypocreales; Nectriaceae
Description: eukaryotic LSU rRNA
Rfam family: Eukaryotic large subunit ribosomal RNA
Source: RNAcentral
UGAAAUCUGGCUCUCGGGCCCGAGUUGUAAUUUGUAGAGGAUGACUUUGAUGCGGUGCCUUCCGAGUUCCCUGGAACGGGACGCCAUAGAGGGUGAGAGCCCCGUCUGGUUGGAUGCCAAAUCUCUGUAAGUCUCCUUCGACGAGUCGAGUAGUUUGGGAAUGCUGCUCUAAAUGGGAGGUAUAUGUCUUCUAAAGCUAAAUACCGGCCAGAGACCGAUAGCGCACAAGUAGAGUGAUCGAAAGAUGAAAAGCACUUUGAAAAGAGAGUUAAAAAGUACGUGAAAUUGUUGAAAGGGAAGCGUUUAUGACCAGACUUGGGCUUGGUUAAUCAUCUGGGGUUCUCCCCAGUGCACUUUUCCAGUCCAGGCCAGCAUCAGUUUUCGCCGGGGGACAAAGGCUUCGGGAAUGUGGCUCCCCUCGGGGAGUGUUAUAGCCCGUUGUGUAAUGCCCUGGCGGGGACUGAGGUUCGCGCUUCUGCAAGGAU